Molecule: long non-coding RNA, 1507 nt
Organism: Chelonus insularis
Lineage: Eukaryota; Metazoa; Arthropoda; Insecta; Hymenoptera; Braconidae
Exons: 3
Source: RefSeq, a predicted model, not a curated record
UUGAAGAUAUAAAUAACAACAUAAAAUUUAAAUAAACUUUACUUUCAACAUAAACAAUUAAUUUUUAAUCAUUUCGAAUUAACAUUUACAAUUAAUCGAUCCAUAAAUUAUUCACUUGAUGAAAUUUUCACAAUCAUCAUGAAUAUAAACAAAUCACAUCAUCUGAAGUGUGGUAUGAUUAAUUGGCAAAAGAUGUAUAAAAUCCAACGUGAUUUGCAGUGCAUCAUCAUACGGACACCAUCCACAAGGAGCUGUACCACAAAAGUCUAAUGAUGUUUCAUUGAACUUCAUACUUUUUUUCAAUCUUUCAAUAAUAAUGUCUUUGGAACGUGAUUCUGGUUGACUUAUAGAAUUAGGAUUCUCUUUCAUUGGAUUUGGAGUUGUUUCGUCCUAGAAUUUAAACAUACUUUUAUUAAUCAGGAGCAAAUUCAACAGGUCCAACUAUUACUUGUUGAAUUGAAUUAUUUGUUGGAUGGUUCAAAUACAAAUAAAUGAAUUCAGUGUACAUAAAAUUUAAAAAAAUUGAUAAUUUUAUCAUGAAAAUAGUAAUACGUAGUUUAGAGGAAAAACGAAACGUAGAAAAUUGUGUGAAAAACUCUAAAUUUAGAGAUACUGAGAUUUGUUUUUCAUUUCGUUGAGAAGUCAGUAUGAUUGUAAAUGUACAUAUAAAGAGACAGGUCACUAAUAUUUAUCUAUGGAGAUACAGAUGUUGUAGAUGAACACACUGACAUUGAAAGCAAGUGAUAAAAAAUGGAUUUCGAUUGACAUUUUAAAAAAUUGUGCAAUUCGAACGUUGAACUCAUAAAACAAGUUUGACUAGUUUGAUUAAAAUUCAAUAAUGCAAAUAAUACACCCGAAGCUUAUAAAUAAUAGACAUUAUAAUCGGUAUAUUAAUACGUAUUAGUGAAGUAUAAAAUUCCGGAAAAUAUGUAAGUAAAAAUGUGUGAGAAAGUAAAUGGGAAAGAUGAUAAUAAGGGAGAGGAUUAAGAGUUAGCUGAAUAAUUUUUCUGACGUCUUCAAGUUUUUCUUUAUCAUUCUUAUAAAAAUCAUUGACGUACAAACUAAUUUAUCUAAAUUAAUUAUUAAUUUUACAAAAAUAAAUGUCAGAUAAAUAAUAACGUAUAAUGAUGAAAAAAAGUAAUAUUUAAUAAAAAUUAGGCGGAAAUGAAUGAAAUUUUAUAACAAAAUUUAAGGAGCUAUUUCCAAGGAUUUAAUGAAAAGAGCUCAUAAAUUUUUCUCCUCUAUAAUCUCCGCAUUCUUUGAAUAUAAAUCAACAAAUGUGAACAAUAUUCGGAGAAUAGUAUAUAUCAUGAAUAGCUAUAGAAUCGAAAUGCUGACAAUAUAAAUUCUCUUGUUAAUAAAAAUAAUAUUUUGACGGUAAUAUAUAACGUUCUGACGACAAUACAUAUAUACUAGUAAUACCCCUUACGUUUAAUAUACGAUUAAAGUUCAUUUAAUUUGAAGAAAUUAUUUUCAUUCUUCAAUAUGUUUAUAAACUCUACCACAA